GUGGUUGUAGCUCAGUGGAAGAGCGCUUGUCUAGCAUGCAUGAGGCCUUGGGUUCAAUCUCCAAUACCAUC
RNAcentral lists this transfer RNA (71 nucleotides) under Cavia porcellus (domestic guinea pig). It matches the Rfam family "tRNA". Rfam says of the family: Transfer RNA (tRNA) molecules are approximately 80 nucleotides in length. Their secondary structure includes four short double-helical elements and three loops (D, anti-codon, and T loops). Lineage: Eukaryota; Metazoa; Chordata; Mammalia; Rodentia; Caviidae. The record is from Rfam by way of RNAcentral.